This 253-nucleotide ribosomal RNA is filed under the name uncultured bacterium. Its description in RNAcentral is "partial 16S ribosomal RNA". It matches the Rfam family "Bacterial small subunit ribosomal RNA", at positions 524 to 776 of the family's 1533-position model. The record is from RNAcentral.
UACGUAGGGGGCAAGCGUUGUCCGGAAUCAUUGGGCGUAAAGAGCGUGUAGGCGGUCCGGUCAGUCGGUUGUGAAAGUCAAGGGCUCAACCCUUGAAUGCCGGCCGAUACUGCCGGGCUAGAGUCCGGAAGAGGUGAGUGGAAUUCCUGGUGUAGCGGUGAAAUGCGCAGAUAUCAGGAGGAACACCGAUGGCGAAGGCAGCUCACUGGGCCGGUACUGACGCUGAGACGCGAAAGCGUGGGGAGCAAACAGG